This 1004-nucleotide ribosomal RNA is filed under the name uncultured bacterium. RNAcentral describes it as "bacterial SSU rRNA". It matches the Rfam family "Bacterial small subunit ribosomal RNA", at positions 28 to 1018 of the family's 1533-position model. The record is from RNAcentral.
GACGAACGCUGGCGGCGUGCCUAAUGCAUGCAAGUCGAGCGACGCAUACUGGAGGGGUAACCCACCGGUAUGACGGAGCGGCGAACGGGUGAGUAACACGUGAGUAACCUACCCCGAAGACCGGGAUAACCCAGGGAAACCUGGGCUAAUACCGGAUACUCUCGGACCUUCGCAUGGAGGACCGAGGAAAGCUUUAGCGCUUCGGGAUGGGCUCGCGGCCUAUCAGCUAGUUGGUGGGGUAACGGCCCACCAAGGCUUUGACGGGUAGCUGGUCUGAGAGGACGAUCAGCCACACCGGGACUGAGACACGGCCCGGACUCCUACGGGAGGCAGCAGUGGGGAAUAUUGGACAAUGGGGGGAACCCUGAUCCAGCCCUGCCGCGUGUGUGAAGAAGGUCUUCGGAUUGUAAAGCACUUUAAGUUGGGAGGAAGAGCUCCGGGCUAAUACCCUGCGAGUUUUGACGUUACCAACAGAAUAAGCACCGGCUAACUUCGUGCCAGCAGCCGCGGUAAUACGAAGGGUGCGAGCGUUAAUCGGAAUUACUGGGCGUAAAGCGCGCGUAGGUGGUUUGUUAAGUUGGAAGUGAAAGCCCCGGGCUUAACCUGGGAAUUGCUUUCAAAACUGACGGGCUAGAGUACGGUAGAGGGUAGUGGAAUUUCCUGUGUAGCGGUGAAAUGCGUAGAUAUAGGAAGGAACAUCAGUGGCGAAGGCGACUGCCUGGACUGAUACUGACACUGAGGUGCGAAAGCGUGGGGAGCAAACAGGAUUAGAUACCCUGGUAGUCCACGCCGUAAACGAUGUCAACUAGUUGUUGGGGGUCUUGUACCUUUAGUAACGCAGCUAACGCAUUAAGUUGACCGCCUGGGGAGUACGGCCGCAAGGUUAAAACUCAAAUGAAUUGACNGGGGCCCGCACAGCGGUGGAGCAUGUGGUUUAAUUCGAGCAACGCGAAAACCUUACCUGGCCUUGACAUGUAGCGAACUUUCNNAGAUGGAUGGUGCCU